RNAcentral lists this ribosomal RNA (465 nucleotides) under uncultured bacterium. RNAcentral's name for it is "partial 16S ribosomal RNA". It matches the Rfam family "Bacterial small subunit ribosomal RNA", at positions 338 to 795 of the family's 1533-position model. The record is from RNAcentral.
CCUACGGGAGGCAGCAGUGGGGAAUAUUGCGCAAUGGGCGAAAGCCUGACGCAGCGACGCCGCGUGAGGGAUGAAGGUCUUCGGAUCGUAAACCUCUGUCAGCAGGGAAGAACGGUCACUGUGCUAAUCAGCAGUGAAUUGAUGGUACCUGCAAAGGAAGCACCGGCUAACUCCGUGCCAGCAGCCGCGGUAAUACGGAGGGUGCGAGCGUUAAUCGGAAUUACUGGGCGUAAAGCGCUCGUAGGCGGUAUGUCAAGUCAAGGGUGAAAUCCCCGCGCUCAACGUGGGAACUGCCUUUGAAACUGGCAAACUGGGGUGUGUGAGAGGAUAGUGGAAUUCCAGGUGUAGGAGUGAAAUCCGUAGAUAUCUGGAGGAACAUCAGUGGCGAAGGCGACUAUCUGGCACAUAACUGACGCUGAGGAGCGAAAGCGUGGGUAGCAAACAGGAUUAGAUACCCGUGUAGUC